GACGAACGCUGGCGGCGUGCUUAACACAUGCAAGUCGAACGGAAAGGCCCUGCUUUUGUGGGGUGCUCGAGUGGCGAACGGGUGAGUAACACGUGAGUAACCUGCCCUUGACUUUGGGAUAACUUCAGGAAACUGGGGCUAAUACCGGAUAGGAGCUCCUGCUGCAUGGUGGGGGUUGGAAAGUUUCGGCGGUUGGGGAUGGACUCGCGGCUUAUCAGCUUGUUGGUGGGGUAGUGGCUUACCAAGGCUUUGACGGGUAGCCGGCCUGAGAGGGUGACCGGCCACAUUGGGACUGAGAUACGGCCCAGACUCCUACGGGAGGCAGCAGUGGGGAAGAGUGCACAAUGGGCGGAAGCCUGAUGCAGCAACGCCGCGUGGGGGAUGACGGCCUUCGGGUUGUAUACCGCUUUCGCCUGUGACGAAGCGUGAGUGACGGUAAUGGGUAAAGAAGCACCGGCUAACUACGUG
RNAcentral lists this ribosomal RNA (468 nucleotides) under uncultured bacterium. Its description in RNAcentral is "partial 16S ribosomal RNA". It matches the Rfam family "Bacterial small subunit ribosomal RNA", at positions 28 to 507 of the family's 1533-position model. The record is from RNAcentral.